AAGGAUUUGGGGGAACAGAUAUGAGUUAAAACUGGUGAAAAUAUCAGAAAUGAAAGUCCAAACCAUCAGUGUCGGUGUUUGAUUGGAACAUGUUAAGCAGCCUUUUGAAAGACUUAAAAACAACAUGUCUGUCCUUUUCAUGAGGAAUAGAUGUCGGUAUGUCUUCCUUCUACUUUCGUCUCAUCCGAUGGGAGAUUCAGAUAUCCUGAAUUAAAACAUUUGCCAGUAAGUCUGAUGAUUCUAAAAUUUCUACACAAGAAAUCACUACCAUUACUCAAUAGGGAAGAAAUGUCCUUUCAAUAAUUAACAGGUCAAGACCUUCAUCCAAACCCAUGGUUGUUCCAUUUGAGGUUCUGAUUAUUUUAAAUGCUGCAUCUUCCCUGGUGUAAACAUUUUCUUUGUAAGAGACCUUCUAUCAAAAACUCUUAAUUUCAAAUGGAAUGCAGUCAGUUAUUUAAAUUAUUAUGAUGAUAUUGUACUUUUGAAGGUCUGUAAUGCCAUUUCUUUAUUUUUCUUUCUUUUUGUACUCACAAACCUGUAUCUAGCCAACUGUGUACCUAAGAUGACACUGUAAAAGGCUACUCGUGAACUUUUCAUUGUACUCACGUGAGUACAUGUGACAAUAAAGCUAAUUCAAUUCAA
This is a long non-coding RNA of Rhincodon typus (whale shark), 642 nucleotides long. RefSeq lists it as uncharacterized. NCBI's taxonomy places the organism in Eukaryota, Metazoa, Chordata, Chondrichthyes, Orectolobiformes, Rhincodontidae. The transcript is spliced from 2 exons. The record is from RefSeq and is a predicted model, not a curated record.